RNAcentral lists this ribosomal RNA (252 nucleotides) under uncultured bacterium. RNAcentral's name for it is "partial 16S ribosomal RNA". It matches the Rfam family "Bacterial small subunit ribosomal RNA", at positions 524 to 776 of the family's 1533-position model. The record is from RNAcentral.
UACGUAGGGGGCGAGCGUUGUCCGGAAUUAUUGGGCGUAAAGCGCGCGCAGGCGGCAAUGUAAGUUGGGUGUUUAAACCUAGGGCUCAACCUUGGGUCGCAUCCAAAACUGCAUAGCUUGAGUACAGAAGAGGAAAGUGGAAUUCCACGUGUAGCGGUGAAAUGCGUAGAGAUGUGGAGGAACACCAGUGGCGAAGGCGACUUUCUGGGCUGUAACUGACGCUGAGGCGCGAAAGCGUGGGGAGCAAACAGG